This 297-nucleotide unclassified non-coding RNA is filed under the name Hevea brasiliensis (rubber tree). Lineage: Eukaryota; Viridiplantae; Streptophyta; Magnoliopsida; Malpighiales; Euphorbiaceae. The record is from RNAcentral.
UUAACCUACUUUGAGGCUAUGACUGGAUUGAUAGAAUGAACGUAAAAGAACUAAAGAAGUGCAGUGCAGAAGAUUGAAAAAGGGAACACAAAGGUUAAAACUAGUUUGUGGCUAAGACAGGAUUAUGAUGGAAAUAGAAGGAAAAGAAAUGAUGUGGACAGAAAAAAAUUCCAAAGAUGAGCUACCAGGUGCUUUUGAGUGGGUGUGCAAGCAGCAUGCCAGUAGAAGUAUGAGCAUUCUUUAAAGAAGAGAGAUGCAGAAUUCUACACAAUCUAGAGUAUUCUGUGCAAUUGCAAG